AAACUCCUCACUCCGUACUAAGCAAUACUAUACCUCUAUAGAAAAUUUUAUGUUAAAACUAGUAACAAGAAGACAGACCUUCUCUUAAAUGUAAACGUAAAUCAUAAGGACAAACCACUGAUAUUUAACGCUCAAGAACCAGAAGUAAUAACCAACCAAGAAAACUUUACUUUAAUUAACGUUAACCUAACACAAGAGCAUUUCAAGAAAGAUUAAAAGAAAAAGAAGGAACUCGGCAAACUUUAACCUCGCCUGUUUACCAAAAACAUCACCUCUUGAUAAUAAUGAGAGGCCCAGCCUGCCCAGUGACCCAGUUCAACGGCCGCGGUAUCCUAACCGUGCGAAGGUAGCGUAAUCACUUGUUCUUUAAAUAAGGACUAGUAUGAACGGCAUCACGAGGGUUAUGCUGUCUCCUUUUUCCAAUCAGUGAAACUAAUUUCCCCGUGAAGAAGCAGGGAUAAAAUUAUAAGACGAGAAGACCCUAUGGAGCUUCAAACAACACAACAAAUGCCAAACAACUUAAAAAUUUCAUAACUCCAAAUUUACUCAGCAUUAUGAUUGUUAGUUUUAGGUUGGGGUGACCGCGGAGCAAAACACAACCUCCACAUUGAAAGAAUUUUAUUCUAAGCCAAGAACCACAACUCAAAGCAUCUAUAUAUUGACAUUAAUUGACCCAAUAAACUUGAACAACGAACCAAGUUACCCUAGGGAUAACAGCGCAAUCUACUUCAAGAGCCCCUAUCGACAAGUAGGUUUACGACCUCGAUGUUGGAUCAGGGUCUCCAAGUGGUGCAGCCGCUACUAAAGGUUCGUUUGUUCAACGAUUAAUACCCUA
This 835-nucleotide ribosomal RNA is filed under the name Osornophryne guacamayo (Guacamayo plump toad). RNAcentral describes it as "partial 16S ribosomal RNA". It matches the Rfam family "Bacterial large subunit ribosomal RNA", at positions 1463 to 2598 of the family's 2925-position model. Lineage: Eukaryota; Metazoa; Chordata; Amphibia; Anura; Bufonidae. The record is from RNAcentral.